This 889-nucleotide ribosomal RNA is filed under the name uncultured bacterium. Its description in RNAcentral is "bacterial SSU rRNA". It matches the Rfam family "Bacterial small subunit ribosomal RNA", at positions 8 to 853 of the family's 1533-position model. The record is from RNAcentral.
AGAGUUUGAUCAUGGCUCAGGAUGAACGCUGGCGGCGUGCCUAAUACAUGCAAGUCAAACGCUUUGUUUUUAAUUGAUAUGAAGAGCUUGCUCUGAUUUGAUUUUAUCUGACAAAGAGUGGCGAACGGGUGAGUAACACGUGGGUAACCUACCUCUUAGCAGGGGAUAACAUUUGGAAACAAGUGCUAAUACCGUAUAACACUAACAACCGCAUGGUUGUUAGUUGAAAGAUGGUUCUGCUAUCACUAAGAGAUGGACCCGCGGUGCAUUAGCUAGUUGGUAAGGUAAUGGCUUACCAAGGCGAUGAUGCGUAGCCGAGUCGAGAGACUGAUCGGCCACAAUGGGACUGAGACACGGCCCAUACUCCUACGGGAGGCAGCAGUAGGGAAUCUUCCACAAUGGGCGCAAGCCUGAUGGAGCAACGCCGCGUGUGUGAUGAAGGGUUUCGGCUCGUAAAACACUGUUAUAAGAGAAGAACGACAUUGAGAGUAACUGUUCAGUGUGUGACGGUAUCUUAUCAGAAAGGAACGGCUAAAUACGUGCCAGCAGCCGCGGUAAUACGUAUGUUCCAAGCGUUAUCCGGAUUUAUUGGGCGUAAAGCGAGCGCAGACGGUUAUUUAAGUCUGAAGUGAAAGCCCUCAGCUCAACUGAGGAAGGGCUUUGGAAACUGGAUAACUUGAGUGCAGUAGAGGAAAGUGGAACUCCAUGUGUAGCGGUGAAAUGCGUAGAUAUAUGGAAGAACACCGGUGGCGAAAGCGGCUUUCUGGACUGUAACUGACGUUGAGGCUCGAAAGUGUGGGUAGCAAACAGGAUUAGAUACCCUGGUAGUCCACACCGUAAACGAUGAGUGCUAGAUGUUCGAGGGUUUCCGCCCUUGAGUGUCGCAGCU